GCUGGGUGCAGUGGAGCAUACCUGUAAUCCCUGCAACUUGGGAGGCUGAAGCAGGAAGCCUGCAUGUUCAAGACAGCCUCAGCAACUUAGCAGGACCUUGCCUCAA
RNAcentral lists this small RNA (106 nucleotides) under Marmota monax (woodchuck). The record is from RNAcentral. Lineage: Eukaryota; Metazoa; Chordata; Mammalia; Rodentia; Sciuridae.